Molecule: ribosomal RNA, 493 nt
Filed under: uncultured bacterium
Lineage: Bacteria
Description: partial 16S ribosomal RNA
Rfam family: Bacterial small subunit ribosomal RNA
Source: RNAcentral
AUUGAACGCUGGCGGCAUGCCUUACACAUGCAAGUCGAACGGUAACAGGUUAAGCUGACGAGUGGCGAACGGGUGAGUAAUGCAUCGAAACGUGCCCGAUCGUGGGGGAUAACGCAGCGAAAGCUGCGCUAAUACCGCAUACGAUCUGAGGAUGAAAGCGGGGGACCGUAAGGCCUCGCGCGAUCGGAGCGGCCGAUGUCAGAUUAGGUAGUUGGUGGGGUAAAGGCUCACCAAGCCAACGAUCUGUAGCUGGUCUGAGAGGACGACCAGCCACACUGGGACUGAGACACGGCCCAGACGCCUACGGGAGGCAGCAGUGGGGAAUUUUGGACAAUGGGCGAAAGCCUGAUCCAGCAAUGCCGCGUGCAGGAAGAAGGCCUUCGGGUUGUAGACUGCUUUUGUACGGAGCGAAAAGGCUCUCUCUGAUACAGGGGGCUCAUGACGGUACCGUAAGAAUAAGCACCGGCUAACUACGUGCCAGCAGCCGCGGUAA